AUUGUCAUCUGUUGAAUUUCACUCUCAAUAAUGAAAUUAUAUUGCCUGGGGAUGCAAGCAAGUCCCGCCCAUUUUGAAUCAACGAUGUCGUCAAUUGCACCAGCUGAACGUACUUGCGUCAUUUUCAGAAUUCAAGUGUCAUCUCCGCUGACGUUAGACAACAUUAUCCGUGGAAGAUCAAAGAAUUUGAGCUUCCGAGAAACGGUCGUAGGAGUAGAGUCGUAAAUCAGCCCCAACCCACAAUAGUAAGGUGACAUCAAAGGCGCGUAGAGCCACGUUCGCAUUUGCGCCCGAGCAACACAAGACACCGAACCUUUGUACUCGCUGCCUGGAUUUAAAUCUUGGAGAUACCAGUCCUGAGAAUUGCUGUUUUCGUAAGUAUGUUUCAAACAAAAGAGAAUAAAAAGUAUUUCUCUUACAA
RNAcentral lists this unclassified non-coding RNA (421 nucleotides) under Haliotis rubra (blacklip abalone). Its description in RNAcentral is "uncharacterized LOC124285001, transcript variant X12". Lineage: Eukaryota; Metazoa; Mollusca; Gastropoda; Lepetellida; Haliotidae. The record is from RNAcentral.